This 119-nucleotide ribosomal RNA is filed under the name Pteropus alecto (black flying fox). The record is from RNAcentral. Lineage: Eukaryota; Metazoa; Chordata; Mammalia; Chiroptera; Pteropodidae.
GUCUAUGGCCACGCCACCCUGAACAAGCCCGGUCCCAUCUGAUCUCGGAAGCUAAGCAGGGUCGGGCCUGAUUAGUAUUUGGAUGAGAGACCACUUACGGAGACCAGGUGCUGUAGGCA